This 85-nucleotide transfer RNA is filed under the name Felis catus (domestic cat). It matches the Rfam family "tRNA". Rfam says of the family: Transfer RNA (tRNA) molecules are approximately 80 nucleotides in length. Their secondary structure includes four short double-helical elements and three loops (D, anti-codon, and T loops). Further hydrogen bonds mediate the characteristic L-shaped molecular structure. tRNAs have two regions of fundamental functional importance: the anti-codon, which is responsible for specific mRNA codon recognition, and the 3' end, to which the tRNAs corresponding amino acid is attached (by aminoacyl-tRNA synthetases). tRNAs cope with the degeneracy of the genetic code in two manners: having more than one tRNA (with a specific anti-codon) for a particular amino acid; and 'wobble' base-pairing, i.e. permitting non-standard base-pairing at the 3rd anti-codon position. The record is from Rfam by way of RNAcentral. Lineage: Eukaryota; Metazoa; Chordata; Mammalia; Carnivora; Felidae.
GCCUGGGUGGCUCAGUCAGUUGAGCGGCCGACUUCGGCUUAGGUCAUGAUCUUGUGGUCUGUGAGUUCAAGCCCCGCCUCGGGCU